CCUACGGGAGGCAGCAGUGGGGAAUUUUGGACAAUGGGCGCAAGCCUGAUCCAGCAAUGCCGCGUGAGUGAAGAAGGCCUUCGGGUUGUAAAGCUCUUUUGUCAGGGAAGAAACGGUGGGAGCUAAUAUCUCCUACUAAUGACGGUACCUGAAGAAUAAGCACCGGCUAACUACGUGCCAGCAGCCGCGGUAAUACGUAGGGUGCAAGCGUUAAUCGGAAUUACUGGGCGUAAAGCGUGCGCAGGCGGUUUUGUAAGUCUGUCGUGAAAGCCCCGGGCUCAACCUGGGAAUUGCGAUGGAGACUGCAAGGCUUGAAUCUGGCAGAGGGGGGUAGAAUUCCACGUGUAGCAGUGAAAUGCGUAGAGAUGUGGAGGAACACCGAUGGCGAAGGCAGCCCCCUGGGUCAAGAUUGACGCUCAUGCACGAAAGCGUGGGGAGCAAACAGGAUUAGAUACCCUGGUAGUCCACGCCCUAAACGAUGUCUACUAGUUGUCGGGUUUUAAUAACUUGGUAACGCAGCUAACGCGUGAAGUAGACCGCCUGGGGAGUACGGUCGCAAGNUUAAAACUUCAAAUUGAAAUUGACCGGNUUGNGAGNGCGAGACGACGACGAGGAGAGG
RNAcentral lists this ribosomal RNA (619 nucleotides) under uncultured bacterium. RNAcentral describes it as "bacterial SSU rRNA". It matches the Rfam family "Bacterial small subunit ribosomal RNA", at positions 338 to 961 of the family's 1533-position model. The record is from RNAcentral.